GAUGAACGCUGGCGGCGUGCUUAAUACAUGCAAGUCGAGCGAACAGACGAGGAGCUUACUCCUCUGACGUUAGCGGCGGACGGGUGAGUAACACGUGGUCAACCUACCUAUAAGACUUGGAUAACUUCGGGAAACCGUAGCUAAUACCGGAUAAUAUAUUGAACCGCAUGGUUCAAUAGUGUAAGACGGAUUUGCUGUUAUUUCUACAUGGAUCCGCGUCGCUUUAGUUAGUUGGUAAGGAAACGGCUUACCAAGGCAACGAUGGGUAGCCGACCUGAGAGGGUGGUCGCCCACAUUGGAACAGAGGCACAGUCCAGGCUCCUGCGGGAAGCAGCAGUAGUGAAUCUUCCGCAAUAGGGGUAAGCCUUCCAGAGCGACGCCACGUCAGAUAUGGAGAUCUUCGGAUCGUGAGACGCGGUUAUGCGGUGAAAACUAAUUUCGAAGUAAAUAUGCACGUCUUGACGGUACCUAGUCAGAAAGCCACGGCUAACUACGUG
RNAcentral lists this ribosomal RNA (497 nucleotides) under uncultured bacterium. Its description in RNAcentral is "partial 16S ribosomal RNA". It matches the Rfam family "Bacterial small subunit ribosomal RNA", at positions 28 to 507 of the family's 1533-position model. The record is from RNAcentral.